This 220-nucleotide ribosomal RNA is filed under the name uncultured bacterium. RNAcentral describes it as "partial 16S ribosomal RNA". It matches the Rfam family "Bacterial small subunit ribosomal RNA", at positions 28 to 242 of the family's 1533-position model. The record is from RNAcentral.
GAUGAACGCUGGCGGCGUGCCUAAUACAUGCAAGUCGAACGCACAGCGAAAGGUGCUUGCACCUUUCAAGUGAGUGGCGAACGGGUGAGUAACACGUGGACAACCUGCCUCAAGGCUGGGGAUAACAUUUGGAAACAGAUGCUAAUACCGAAUAAACUUAGUGUCGCAUGACACAAGUUAAAGGCGCUUGGCGUCACCUAAGAUGGAUCCGCGGUGUACG